UGUGACUGCUCUGUGGGUAGAUCAAGCCAGAGUUCUUCCCAGCAGAUUAUGUUCCAGUUGGUGAGAUGAGCAAAGAUGCUGGUGAUGAUGGUGAUAUUGGUAAUGAGAAGUAUUGGAGUCAAUGUUUGAUUUCCCAUACCAGAAGAUUAUCAGGUAGCAAAGGUAUGUGUUUUCAAUAUCUGGGCAUGUAAGGAAAUGGGAGUGAGUUUUAAAAUCCUGCAGGAG
This 225-nucleotide long non-coding RNA is filed under the name Mustela putorius furo (domestic ferret). RNAcentral's name for it is "lncRNA (ENSMPUG00000031620.1)". The record is from RNAcentral. Lineage: Eukaryota; Metazoa; Chordata; Mammalia; Carnivora; Mustelidae.